Molecule: ribosomal RNA, 253 nt
Filed under: uncultured bacterium
Lineage: Bacteria
Description: partial 16S ribosomal RNA
Rfam family: Bacterial small subunit ribosomal RNA
Source: RNAcentral
UACGAAGGGAGCUAGCGUUGUUCGGAAUCACUGGGCGUAAAGCGCGCGUAGGCGGACGUGUCAGUCAGGGGUGAAAUCCCGGAGCUCAACUUCGGAACUGCCUUUGAUACAGCACGUCUUGAGUCCGGAAGAGGUGGGUGGAAUUCCUAGUGUAGAGGUGAAAUUCGUAGAUAUUAGGAAGAACACCGGUGGCGAAGGCGGCCCGCUGGUCCGGUACUGACGCUGAGGUGCGAAAGCGUGGGGAGCAAACAGG